AAGAAUUUAAAGGUCGAACAGACCUAUUAAUUAAGCUACUGCACCUAAUUAUUAUCUUAAUCCAACAUCGAGGUCGCAACCCUUCCCGUAAAUAUGAACUCUGAGGGAAGAUUACG
RNAcentral lists this ribosomal RNA (116 nucleotides) under Ischnura senegalensis. RNAcentral describes it as "partial 16S ribosomal RNA". Lineage: Eukaryota; Metazoa; Arthropoda; Insecta; Odonata; Coenagrionidae. The record is from RNAcentral.